RNAcentral lists this ribosomal RNA (429 nucleotides) under Pseudomonadota bacterium. Its description in RNAcentral is "Proteobacteria bacterium partial 16S ribosomal RNA". It matches the Rfam family "Bacterial small subunit ribosomal RNA", at positions 355 to 776 of the family's 1533-position model. Lineage: Bacteria; Pseudomonadati; Pseudomonadota. The record is from RNAcentral.
UGGGGAAUAUUGGACAAUGGGCGAAAGCCUGAUCCAGCCAUGCCGCGUGUGUGAAGAAGGUCUUCGGAUUGUAAAGCACUUUAAGUUGGGAGGAAGGGCAGUAAGCGAAUACCUUGCUGCUUUGACGUUACCGACAGAAUAAGCACCGGCUAACUCUGUGCCAGCAGCCGCGGUAAUACAGAGGGUGCAAGCGUUAAUCGGAAUUACUGGGCGUAAAGCGCGCGUAGGUGGUUCGUUAAGUUGAAUGUGAAAGCCCCGGGCUCAACCUGGGAACUGCAUCCAAAACUGGCGAGCUAGAGUAGGGCAGAGGGGGGUGGAAUUUCCUGUGUAGCGGUGAAAUGCGUAGAUAUAGGAAGGAACACCAGUGGCGAAGGCGACCACCUGGGCUCAUACUGACACUGAGGUGCGAAGGCGUAGGGAGGAAACAGG